GUGAAUCAUCAAAUUUUUGAACGCAAAUUGCGCUUUCUGGUAUUCCGGAAAGUAUGCCUGUUUGAGGGUCAGUUAAAUAAAAAUCGGUGGUGUGGCUGCCGUUCGUUGUGACGCGUCGUAAUUGAGUUGUCUUACCUUCGGUUAAGUGACUUAGAAUUUUGCAUGAUUUUCGAACGUAUUUAUAUUUCUUACGUACGUUUGAGAUAUCGAAGACUUUAUUAGGUUCGUUCAUCCUCAUUAUUCGCACCUAUAAGUUUUCAUUAAAUGACCUCAAAUCAUGUAAGGAUACCAGCUGAACUUA
RNAcentral lists this unclassified non-coding RNA (301 nucleotides) under Glomus sp. Its description in RNAcentral is "partial contains 5.8S ribosomal RNA, internal transcribed spacer 2, and large subunit ribosomal RNA". The stretch from base 1 to 71 matches the Rfam family "5.8S ribosomal RNA", at positions 84 to 154 of the family's 154-position model. The record is from RNAcentral. Lineage: Eukaryota; Fungi; Glomeromycota; Glomeromycetes; Glomerales; Glomeraceae.